Cricetulus griseus (Chinese hamster) is the source of this 584-nucleotide non-coding RNA. Lineage: Eukaryota; Metazoa; Chordata; Mammalia; Rodentia; Cricetidae. The record is from RefSeq and is a predicted model, not a curated record.
CCGCCCCAAGCCGCACCGCGGGCACCGCCCUGAGCGCCCGCGCAGGGAUGACUCCCCGAGCUCCACAGGCCUGUCCCAGGGUAAAUCCCAGACCGAGUCCCUCCCCGUCCCUGUCUGAUGGCGCUUCAGCACCACAGCUCCCUCCUCCCUGCCUCCCUCACAGACACCACUCAGCUAGUUUCUGGCUUUGGGCUGGACUAGUGGAGACAGGCACAAGUCAACAGCUCCCAGGCUUGUCUGCUUGUCUCUCGGAGAGACCCGCCGAGCUACCAUCUGCAUUAUUUUGAGACGCGCGCUGGGGUCAUGCCUCCUGGAGCCAUUCUGAAUGAAACAGUCUGAAGUAGAAGUGGCAGCAUGUGCUCUCAUAUUCUACAAUGUCAUCUCUGUUUUAUACACCCCAGAUGUUGCAGCCCUGGGCUUGAGAGCAUUGUGUUCUUCGUUCUCUUUGGCUUGAUUGUCCUUUGCCCUGGGGAGAAGGGAGGGGUGAUAACUGCCUGAAGGGUGGUCAGACUACCCCAUUUUGUAAGCUCUAGCCACAGUGCUAAAGAAAACUUACAGCGUGUUUUUAUCCACCGAGGAAAACA